CGACAGGCUUAACACAUAGCAAGUCGAGGGGCAUCACGGGAGUAGCAAUACAACGUGGUGGCGACCGGCGCGACGGUGAGUAACGCGUAUGCAACCUACCUAUCAGAGGGGAAUAACCCGGCGAAAGUCGGACUAAUACCGCAUAAAACAGGGGCACCGCAUGGUGAUAUUUGUUAAAGAAAUUCGCUGAUAGAUGGGCAUGCGUUCCAUUAGGUAGUUGGUGAGGUAACGGCUCACCAAGCCGACGAUGGAUAGGGAACUGAGAGGUUGGUCCCCCACACUGGUACUGAGACACGGACCAGACUCCUACGGGAGGCAGCAGUGAGGAAUAUUGGUCAAUGGGCGGGAGCCUGAACCAGCCAAGUCGCGUUGAAGGAAGAAGGAUCUAUGGUUCGUAAACUUCUUUUGCAGGGGAAUAAAGUGCAGGACGUGUCCUGUUUUGUAUGUACCCUGAGAAUAAGGAUCGGCUAACUCCGUGCCAGCCGCUGC
RNAcentral lists this ribosomal RNA (489 nucleotides) under uncultured bacterium. Its description in RNAcentral is "bacterial SSU rRNA". It matches the Rfam family "Bacterial small subunit ribosomal RNA", at positions 40 to 518 of the family's 1533-position model. The record is from RNAcentral.